GACGAACGCUGGCGGCGUGCUUAACACAUGCAAGUCGAACGGAAAGGCCCUGCUUGCCGGGUACUCGAGUGGCGAACGGGUGAGUAACACGUGGGUGAUCUGCCCUGCACUUCGGGAUAAGCCUGGGAAACUGGGUCUAAUACCGGAUAGGAGCCAUUUUUAGUGUGAUGGUUGGAAAGUUUUUUCGGUGUAGGAUGAGCUCGCGGCCUAUCAGCUUGUUGGUGGGGUAAUGGCCUACUAAGGCGGCGACGGGUAGCCGGCCUGAGAGGGUGGACGGCCACAUUGGGACUGAGAUACGGCCCAGACUCCUACGGGAGGCAGCAGUGGGGAAUAUUGCACAAUGGGCGCAAGCCUGAUGCAGCGACGCCGCGUGGGGGAUGACGGCCUUCGGGUUGUAAACUCCUUUCGCUAGGGACGAAGCUUUUUGUGACGGUACCUAGAGAAGAAGCACCGGCUAACUACGUG
Molecule: ribosomal RNA, 465 nt
Filed under: uncultured bacterium
Lineage: Bacteria
Description: partial 16S ribosomal RNA
Rfam family: Bacterial small subunit ribosomal RNA
Source: RNAcentral